This 259-nucleotide unclassified non-coding RNA is filed under the name Glomeromycetes sp. Its description in RNAcentral is "partial contains 5.8S ribosomal RNA and internal transcribed spacer 2". The stretch from base 1 to 71 matches the Rfam family "5.8S ribosomal RNA", at positions 84 to 154 of the family's 154-position model. Lineage: Eukaryota; Fungi; Glomeromycota; Glomeromycetes. The record is from RNAcentral.
GUGAAUCAUCGAAUUUUUGAACGCAUAUUGCACUCUCUGGUAUUCCGGAGAGUAUGCCUGUUUGAGGGUAAUUAAAAAGAAUCUUUAACCAAUUUUUUUUGUUCAAAGGAAAGAGGCUCUCCGCGUUUAUAGCUGUAUCUUAAAAUAAAUGUUCAAUUCUCAUUUUAUUCAAGACGCUUAAUAAUUUUAUUUCGCGAAAUUUUCAUUAUGUAACUUUCAAGUUUUGAUUCAUACAAAUUUGCUUUGUAUGUGAUUAUUC